UACGUAGGGGGCAAGCGUUGUCCGGAUUUACUGGGUGUAAAGGGCGCGUAGGCGGAUCUGUUAGUCAAGGGUGAAAUCCUACAGCUUAACUGUAGAACUGCCUUUGAUACUGCAAAUCUUGAGUUCGGAAGAGAGUAGCGGAAUUCCAGGUGUAGUGGUGAAAUACGUAGAUAUCUGGAAGAACACCAGUGGCGAAGGCGGCUACUUGGUCCGUAACUGACGCUGAGGCGCGAAAGCGUGGGGAG
RNAcentral lists this ribosomal RNA (245 nucleotides) under uncultured Melioribacter sp. Its description in RNAcentral is "partial 16S ribosomal RNA". It matches the Rfam family "Bacterial small subunit ribosomal RNA", at positions 524 to 768 of the family's 1533-position model. The record is from RNAcentral. Lineage: Bacteria; Pseudomonadati; Ignavibacteriota; Ignavibacteria; Ignavibacteriales; Melioribacteraceae.